GGGUUUAUACUUGGAUUUAGGGUUUAGUGAUUAAAAUUUAGGGUUUAGUGUUUGGAAGGUUGGGGUUGAGGUUUGGGUUUAGUGACUCUAUCAUGUAUCCAUUUGACGAUUAAUAAAUAAUAUACUAUUUCGUUCUCGAUAUGUACUAUACUAUAUAUUUUGUUCCAUUCUAUUUAGGUUUGGGAUCUACUUGGAUUUAGGGUUUAAUAAGUAGGAUUUAGGGUUUAAUAUUUGGAAGAUGGUGGUUAAGGUUUGGGUUUAGUGACCCUAUCAUGUAUCGUUCCAUUUGACGAUUAAUAAAAAGUGUUCUAUUUUGUUCACCAAUAUAUACUAUACUAUGUAUUUUGUUACAUUCUAUUUGGGUUUGGGGUAUAUACUUUGGUUUAUGGUCUAUAAUUGGGUUUAAUGUUUAGUGAUUAUGAUUUAGGGUUUAGUAUUUGGAAAGUGGGGGUUGAGUUUUGGAUUUAGUGAUAACAGUUUAAAGUUUAGUAUUCAAAAUUUAGAUUUAGAUUUAGAGUUUAUAUAUGAGUUUAUGGAUUAUAUUUGGUUUUAGGGUUUACUGAUUAGAGUUUAGGGUUUAGUGAUUAUAGUUUAGGAUUUAUUAUUUAGAUGUUUGUGGAUUUGGGAUCAAAUUUAUUAUUUAGGGAUUAUGAUAUAGUUAAAUUUUUUAUACUAUUUGGAUGAUAUGGAACAUAACAGUCCGAUUUAAUUGUGAGAAGUAAAUGGAAUAUACUAUUUAUUGUAAGAGUAAUUUAUUUUCAUGAACAGAUUUACUGAGCACAAAAACAUAUGAAGUAGUUACGUAAAUGAUGUGGAUGGAUUUGGUGUCUUCAU
RNAcentral lists this long non-coding RNA (834 nucleotides) under Brassica napus (rape). Its description in RNAcentral is "long non-coding RNA (BNAP_LNC012907)". Lineage: Eukaryota; Viridiplantae; Streptophyta; Magnoliopsida; Brassicales; Brassicaceae. The record is from RNAcentral.